ACACGACUACAUUAGAUACCCGCGUAGUCCCAGCCGUAAACUAUGCGCGUUAGGUGUAUCGGUGACCACGAGUUACCGAGGUGCCGAAGGGAAACCGUGAAACGUGCCGCCUGGGAAGUACGGUCGCAAGGCUGAAACUUAAAGGAAUUGGCGGGGGAGCACCACAACAGGUGGAGCCUGCGGUUUAAUUGGACUCAACGCCGGGAAGCUCACCGGAUAGGACAGCAGAAUGAUUGCCGGGCUGAAGACCCUGCAUGACUAGCUG
RNAcentral lists this ribosomal RNA (265 nucleotides) under uncultured archaeon. RNAcentral describes it as "partial 16S ribosomal RNA". It matches the Rfam family "Archaeal small subunit ribosomal RNA", at positions 717 to 982 of the family's 1478-position model. The record is from RNAcentral.